Molecule: long non-coding RNA, 250 nt
Filed under: Elaeis guineensis (African oil palm)
Lineage: Eukaryota; Viridiplantae; Streptophyta; Magnoliopsida; Arecales; Arecaceae
Description: long non-coding RNA (EGUI_LNC035362)
Source: RNAcentral
CAUGGAAAAAAAAUUUUCUCAAAUUUGUUCAAAUCUUAGUUCUCUGGUCGGCGUCUCCCUCAAGUUUUCUCUGAUUCUCUCGAUCUCGACGUCUCCCUCAAGCUUUCUCUUCAUCUCGACGUCUCUCUCGGGGCUUCCAUCUCGACGUCUCUCAGGUAUGAACUCCUCCCCAUCGUCCUCCUCCCCACCAUCCUCCUCCAACUCCGUUGCUGACCUGUCGUGGCCUCCUCGCAUCUGCCAUGAUCAGUCC